UUGUAGUAGGUACCGGAGUUGUUUGUGGUCCGGGGAAGGACGAGGCCGAGCUCUAGGCUGGAAAGCGUGAGAUACAGUUGCUUUUGAGGGCUGGGCCGCAAGAAAGGCUUGAAGGUUGAGCAGUUUCGGUAUCCGGAGGCCGCUGCUGGAGAGAAGCCCGGUUUUUCUGCAGUGGUCUCUCCAGCGGAGCGGGAGAGGGGAACUUCGUGACGGGCUCCCGUUAGGCUGCGUGUCUGGGGAAGGAGGAUACAGGAAGAUCCCGAAUUUGAGGCCAGCCCGGGUUACUUAGUGGAAACCCCUCCCCGCAAAAGAAAAAAAUUGCGUUAAAAAAAAACCUUAAUUUUGCCUUGA
Molecule: long non-coding RNA, 351 nt
Organism: Chinchilla lanigera (long-tailed chinchilla)
Lineage: Eukaryota; Metazoa; Chordata; Mammalia; Rodentia; Chinchillidae
Exons: 2
Source: RefSeq, a predicted model, not a curated record